CGUGUAGCGAGUGAAGCGCCGGAGUGAUCCAGGUGUGGACGCUACACGAGUGAGAAUGCAGGCAUGAGUAGCGAAUGAAGAGUGAGAAACUCUUCCGCCGAAUGAUCAAGGGUUCCAGGGUCAAGCUAAUCUGCCCUGGGUAAGUCGGGACCUAAGGCGAGGCCGACAGGCGUAGUCGAUGGACAACGGGUUGAUAUUCCCGUACCGGCAAAAUAGCGCCCAUGACGAACCUAGUGAUGCUAAGUGCCCAAAACCUGGUGGAUCCCUUCGGGGACAAUCCAGGCGGAGCGCACGACCCGAACUAGUAUUAGUCAAGCGAUGGGGUGACGCAGGAAGGUAGUCCAACCCGGGCGAUGGUUGUCCCGGGCCAACAGCGUAGGGCGAGUGGUAGGCAAAUCCGCCACUCAUAUGCCUGAGACUGGAUAGCGAGUCCGUAUGGACGAAGUGGAUGAUCCUAUGCUGCCGAGAAAAACCUCUAGCGAGCUAUGCGCCGCCCGUACCCCAAACCGACUCAGGUGAUCAGGUAGAGAAUACUAAGGCGAUCGAGUGAACCAGGGUUAAGGAACUCGGCAAAAUGCCCCCGUAACUUCGGGAGAAGGGGGGCCGGAUUUGUCAAUGCACUUGCUGCAAGAAGCAAUGAUGGCCGCAGAGACCAGGCCCAAGCGACUGUUUACUAAAAACACAGGUCCGUGCGAAGUUGUAAGACGAUGUAUACGGACUGACUCCUGCCCGGUGCUGGAAGGUUAAGGGGACGGGUUAGCACGCAAGUGCGAAGCUCAGAACUUAAGCCCCAGUAAACGGCGUGGUAACUAUAACCAUCCUAAGGUAGCGAAAUUCCUUGUCGGGUAAGUUCCGACCUGCACGAAUGGAGUAACGACUUGGGCGCUGUCUCAACCAUGGACUCGGCGAAAUUGCACUACGAGUAAAGAUGCUCGUUACGCGCGGCAGGACGGAAAGACCCCGGGACCUUUACUACAAUUUGGUAUUGGUGUUUGGUUCGGCUUGUGUAGGAUAGGUGGGAGACUUUGAAGCAGGGACGCCAGUUCUUGUGGAGUCAACGUUGAAAUACCACUCUGGUCGUACUAGAUGUCUAACCUAGGUCCGUUAUCCGGAUCAGGGACAGUGCCUGAUGGGUAGUUUAACUGGGGCGGUUGCCUCCUAAAAUGUAACGGAGGCGCUCAAAGGUUCCCUCAGCCUGGUUGGCAAUCAGGUUUCGAGUGUAAGUGCACAAGGGAGCUUGACUGUGAGAGUGACAACUCGAGCAGGGACGAAAGUCGGAACUAGUGAUCCGGCGCUGGCAUGUGGAAACGGCGUCGCUCAACGGAUAAAAGGUACCCCGGGGAUAACAGGCUGAUCUUCCCCAAGAGUCCAUAUCGACGGGAUGGUUUGGCACCUCGAUGUCGGCUCGUCGCAUCCUGGGGCUGGAGUAGGUCCCAAGGGUUGGGCUGUUCGCCCAUUAAAGCAGCACGCGAGCUGGGUUUAGAACGUCGUGAGACAGUUCGGUCCCUAUCCGCCGCGCGCGCA
RNAcentral lists this ribosomal RNA (1524 nucleotides) under metagenome. Its description in RNAcentral is "bacterial LSU rRNA". It matches the Rfam family "Bacterial large subunit ribosomal RNA", at positions 1240 to 2655 of the family's 2925-position model. The record is from RNAcentral.